GAGCGUUUGAUCCUGGCUCAGGACGAACGCUGGCGGCGUGCUUAACACAUGCAAGUCGAGCGAUGAAAUCCCUUCGGGGAUGGAUUAGCGGCGGACGGGUGAGUAACACGUGGGCAACCUGCCUCAAAGUGGGGGAUAGCCUUCCGAAAGGGAGAUUAAUACCGCAUAACAUUAGUUUUUCACAUGAAUUACUAAUUAAAGGAGUAAUCCGCUUUGAGAUGGGCCCGCGGCGCAUUAGCUAGUUGGUGAGGUAACGGCUCACCAAGGCCACGAUGCGUAGCCGACCUGAGAGGGUGAUCGGCCACAUUGGAACUGAGACACGGUCCAGACUCCUACGGGAGGCAGCAGUGGGGAAUAUUGCACAAUGGGCGAAAGCCUGAUGCAGCAACGCCGCGUGAGUGAUGAAGGCCUUCGGGUUGUAAAGCUCUGUCUUUGGGGACGAUAAUGACGGUACCCAAGGAGGAAGCCACGGCUAACUACGUGCCAGCAGCCGCGGUAAUACGUAGGUGGCGAGCGUUGUCCGGAUUUACUGGGCGUAAAGGAUGCGUAGGCGGAUGUUUAAGUCAGAUGUG
This 572-nucleotide ribosomal RNA is filed under the name Clostridium carboxidivorans. Its description in RNAcentral is "bacterial SSU rRNA". It matches the Rfam family "Bacterial small subunit ribosomal RNA", at positions 7 to 596 of the family's 1533-position model. Lineage: Bacteria; Bacillati; Bacillota; Clostridia; Eubacteriales; Clostridiaceae. The record is from RNAcentral.